UGCGACGCNGGCGGCUGCUCAAUNAAUGCAAGUCGAACGCACGAAGUUGAAGAGCUUGCUCUUUAACCAAGUGAGUGGCGGACGGGUGAGUAACACGUGGGUAACCUGCCCAUUAGAGGGGGAUAACAUUCGGAAACGGAUGCUAAUACCGCAUAGUUUCAGGAAUCGCAUGAUUCUUGAAGGAAAGGUGGCUUCGGCUACCACUAAUGGAUGGACCCGCGGCGUAUUAGCUAGUUGGUGAGGUAAUGGCUCACCAAGGCAAUGAUACGUAGCCGACCUGAGAGGGUGAUCGGCCACACUGGGACUGAGACACGGCCCAGACUCCUACGGGAGGCAGCAGUAGGGAAUCUUCCGCAAUGGACGAAAUCUGACGGAGCAACGCCGCGUGAGUGAAGAAGGUUUUCGGAUCGUAAAACUCUGUUGUUAAAGAAGAACAAGGAUGAGAGUAACUGCUCAUCCCCUGACGGUAUUUAACCAGAAAGCCACGGCUAACUACGUGCCAGCAGCCGCGGUAAUACGUAGGUGGCAAGCGUUGUCCGGAUUUAUUGGGCGUAAAGCGAGCGCAGGCGGUUCUUUAAGUCUGAUGUGAAAGCCCCCGGCUCAACCGGGGAGGGUCAUUGGAAACUGGAGAACUUGAGUGCAGAAGAGGAGAGUGGAAUUCCACGUGUAGCGGUGAAAUGCGUUANAUAUGUUGGAGGAACACCAGUGGCGAAAGGCGACUCUCUGGUCUGUAACUGACGCUGAGGCUCGAAAGCGUUGGGGAGCAAACAGGAUUANAUACCCUGGUUGUCCACGCCGUAAACGAUGAGUGCUAAGUGUUUGGAGGGUUUCCGCCCUUCAGUGCUGCAGCUAACGCAUUAACCU
This 864-nucleotide ribosomal RNA is filed under the name Carnobacterium maltaromaticum. RNAcentral's name for it is "bacterial SSU rRNA". It matches the Rfam family "Bacterial small subunit ribosomal RNA", at positions 30 to 866 of the family's 1533-position model. Lineage: Bacteria; Bacillati; Bacillota; Bacilli; Lactobacillales; Carnobacteriaceae. The record is from RNAcentral.